This 3109-nucleotide long non-coding RNA is filed under the name Mytilus galloprovincialis (Mediterranean mussel). Lineage: Eukaryota; Metazoa; Mollusca; Bivalvia; Mytilida; Mytilidae. The record is from RNAcentral.
CUAGCAUGUCUAGGUUUCAGACUCACAUUUUAAAAAUAUGCAUAUGCUGCAAACAUGGACAGGAGUUGGAUUGCAGUAGACAAGAAGACAAAAUGAGUUGCUGCCAUCCUUUCAUGACCCUUCCAAAUCUAGCAACGGAAAUUCCAAAGCAAAACUUUCAGUUUCAGUUGGUUCUGGUAAGUUUGUUAAUUUUUUUGUGGUUAGAAAAAGCAAUUUGACACCAUAAAAACACCUACUAUAGAAACAUCACAUUAAAUCAUAAAUUUAGGAAGAAGAGCAUAGACCAUUUCUCUUUGGGGGAAAAAAAGGGGGGGGGUAUUUACAUAAUUUUCUUGAAGCAAACACUGAUUUAAUUUUCAUUGACAUACAUUUAUAAUGAUUUAAAAUUCUUCUGAAACUAAAAGAUUUAUGUGUUUGCCUUCUAAAUUUUAAUAGAAAAACUUUUUUCUCUCUCAGUCUCUCAAGAGAUCUAUAAUAAUCAUGAAAAAAUAUAUAUUCUAUUACAAAGCCCUCCGGUAUCAGGUUUUUUCGCCCUGAGUUUGUUUGCCAAAUUGUCAAUAGAGUCCAUUGACUCUGGUUUUUUUCUCCUAAUUCAAAAAUAAUGGUUGCUUCAAAUCUAUAUCAAAAAAAAAGGAGAAACGAGAAACACCUAUAGAUUACAUAAACUACUGUACAUUUAUGCCAACUAAAAAGUAUGUGUGUUAACCGCACUACCAUACCUACCUUUAUUUAUAUCCCUACCCUAAAGAUUUUUGUGACAGGUUUUGAUUAAGCACUGUUAAAGUCACAAUAUAGCUCCCAAAGAGUUGUGAAUUUCCUGUCUUUAUUCAUUCCUUUACCAGUACUAUAUGUACAUUGUACAAUGCAGCUAGAUUGAUACAAUAUAUGGUUCUCAAACUCAAAAAAAUGUUUUACAGACUAUGAGCUGGGUUUUUUUUUCUCUAAAAAUUGGUUACUGUGAGACUUUUUCUUUACAUUUCCUUAGAGCAGGUCAUGUAUCACAGUUAUAAACAUGGAAAGAGAACUUGUACAUGUCUUUACUUCUAUCGUUGAUAAAAAAGAAUCUGAAUAGAAUAUGCUUACAAAUGUAUUCCAAAUUAAAGGGCCCAGAAGGCCAAGGGGCAACAUGAGAUUAUAACAUUACAGAUUACUCAGAUAAAACAAAUUCAAAAUAACAAUAACGAAGAAAUGAAUUACUUGAUGAUGUGAUUGAUAUCAUAGCAUUUAUGACAUUUACACAAAUUAAUUAUCAUAUCUACAAAACUUUUUUUUCAAUGAACCAAUGCAUUAUGUUAAGCCAACUUAAUGUACAAAGUACAUGUAGGUGUAAUUCACUGUACUAAUCAUGCAAAUGUACAAAUAUACAAUAUUUUAUUUUUUAUCAACAGGUUAAUGCUGAAGAUGGAAAAGCACGAAAAUAAUGUUAAAAUGAAAGCAGAUAUGAUAGAUCAUAUAGGUAAAUAUAUGAUAUAAUUGAUAAAAAAAAUGAAUCAAACAAGUCAUAACAAGAGACUACUAAAUAGACAGCAAAUAAGACCUGUGUUGUGGCAUUAUUAGUGAAAUAUAAUCAUAUAUAGAAAUUGGAAAUUGACCAGUUACAUUUUUUAUUGUAAAAACAUGAUAAAUAAUCAAUAAAUUAGAUUAACCCUUCAAUCUUAAAAGUUCAAUCUGGUAAACAAAAAGUAAAAAUAACACACAGAACACUCAAAUUAUUAUUUUAUGAUCAAUUAAGGGCCAUAUCAGUACAAUCUACACAACAAAAUUACUCAUCAUUGGAAUUGUUCUCUUUAUAAGAAUUAAACUUAGAAAAAAAUAUGUGUUCUUGUCAGCUUGACAGAUCCUCAUUUAGAGUAAACAUGCAUUUAUGGUAAACCUGAAGACUACAUUUUGUAUUUUUCAUUUUUGAAAAAAACACUUUUACCAUUAUUACAGCUAUUUUCCUAAUGCGUGUAGAGUAAAACUUUGGUAGGUUUGCUUGCUCUGUUUGUAUAAAUAUUGAUUCAAGCUUUGUAAUUAAGGUUGAUAUCUUCAAACAAUAAAUAUAGGCAUAUUGAACCUUUAUGGAGUACUUUUAAUUUGAUUAGACGUUAUGUCAAUUGCAAUUGUACAAUAUACAAACAAACCAUGCAAGCUAACCGAAGUCUUAGAUUUACAUGCCGUAGGAAAUUAGCUGUAAAAUUAAUUAUAUAUUUGUUUUCCAAUGCUUAUUGUUUUUACCAAUUUCAAAUGUUUUGGCUUGUUUUUAAAUUGGUCUAUAUCAGCUAUAGGGUCAAAAGGGUCCAAAGUUAAACUUGAUUUCAUAAAACAAUUGAAUAAUUGGUGUUCUUUGAUAUUAUGAAAAAUUAAACGGUGUAUUGUACUUUUUUGGGAUAAAUACUUCUUUUAUGUUUAGAUUUUUAAUAUUCGUUUUCAAAUUGCAAAAAAGAUCACGGGGGCAAAAAAACCUUUGUUAGUUUAUUAAAAUAUUAUUGAAGUUUUUUUUUCUAUGCUAAAUGUUAUCAUGCAUUUAGCAUGUUUAGAUUUAUGAUUUGGGCUCAGUUUUCAAGUUGAUUCAAAUUGGGGUCCAAACUUAAACUUUGUUUAAAUUCAUUUUAAAAAUUGCAUGUAUGGGGUUCUUUGAUGUGAUAAAUCUAAUCAUGUCUUUUAGACUUUAGAUUUUGGAUAUUGGUACAUUGUUGAAGGUUGUACAGAGGCAUUACAUUCAUUUCAUUUGAACUUUUGUGGAUAUUUGUCUCAUUUGCAAUCAAUACUCAUCUCCCUAUUUUUGUAUUGUCAUAACGUCAUAAAUACAAGAUGAAAUCUGCCAAAUUAACUUCAUUAAAAUUAAGUUUGCUGCAGCUUGGAAUAAGAAAAAAAUAAAAUUUAGGUCCAUUUUUAGCUAGUAUACUCUAUUUCUUAUUCUAUGUACUGGAACGUCAGAGUUGUGAUAAUCGAAACACAUUUUACACUAAGACCCAAUUAAUAAGUAAUUUCUUUUUAGGAAAUUUCAAUCAUUUAAUGGAUAACAAUUGUUUUUCUUAUUAUUUUUUACAGACAUUUGGUGAUCCAAAAAUAACUGGAGUUCAUGAAAGAAGACUGAUUGCUGAGACACAUUUUUGUUGUUAAACAU